UACGUAGGGACCGAGCGUUGUCCGGAAUCAUUGGGCGUAAAGAGCGUGUAGGCGGCCACUUAAGUCCUGCGUGAAAUCUUGCGGCUCAACCGCAAGCGGUCGUGGGAAACUGGGUGGCUAGAGUGCGGGAGAGGAGAGUGGAAUUCCCAGUGUAGAGGUGAAAUUCGUAGAUAUUGGGAAGAACACCGGUGGCGAAGGCGGCGCUCUGGACCGAGACUGACGCUGAGGCGCGAAAGCGUGGGGAGCAAACAGG
Molecule: ribosomal RNA, 253 nt
Filed under: uncultured bacterium
Lineage: Bacteria
Description: partial 16S ribosomal RNA
Rfam family: Bacterial small subunit ribosomal RNA
Source: RNAcentral